RNAcentral lists this long non-coding RNA (1874 nucleotides) under Citrus maxima (pomelo). RNAcentral's name for it is "long non-coding RNA (CMAX_LNC000613)". The record is from RNAcentral. Lineage: Eukaryota; Viridiplantae; Streptophyta; Magnoliopsida; Sapindales; Rutaceae.
UAUAUAUGAAAUUGUAUUAAAUACAAAACUAAUUCUUAAAAUUAGAUUUUGAAAAAUUACUCUCUCGCCGCUUUUCAAAUCUACCGUGAGAUGAGGUGAUUUUGUCAAAAAUGAUUUUUAAAAAAUUCAUUAAAUAUCAAAAUUUGCUUUUAACUUUUUAAAUCACUUUUGAACUUCUCAAAGCAAUCCUAAACAGGCCCUAUGAAUGUUACUAACUACGCGUAACUUCCAAGCUUCUAUCUAAUCCGGCUUUUGGCAACUUAAAAUAAUAAUUAUUUAUACAAUAUAGAGUACUCUAUGAACUGGCAGUGGUAAGUGCCUACUGAUGGUUAAUGAGUAAGCAAGAUAUCAUUAUACCGUUUUUCCAUCCUUUGUACCUUUUGAUUUUGAUUUUUAAUUUUUUUUAAACCUUAGCAACUAUCUAGGAUAGUUUCUGAUUUUUCACUUAAAUUCUUUUGUCAACAUUAAGCCGAAAGACUUUACGUAAGCACGCGUCAACAUGAAAGUUGGGAGGGAUUUUAUUUUGGGUGGUCAUACAAGCUAGUAGCCCAUUGCUUUUUGGGUUUUUUUUCUACCUACCAAUGACUUGGAUUGGUUCGUAAGACGGUGAAAAUUGUUUUAAUGGAACUUACAACACAGAGUACUCCAUGAACUGGCAGUGGUAAGUGCCUCCUCAUAGUUAAUUAGUAAGAAAGAUAUCAUUCUACUGUUUUUUCCAUCCUUUGUACCUUUUGAUUUUGAUUUUUAAUUUUUUUUAAACCUUAACUACUACCUAGGAUAGUUUCUGAUUUUUCACUUAAAUUCUUUUGUCAACAUAAAGCCGAAAGACUUUAGGUAAGCACACGUCCACAUGAAAGUUGGGAGGGAUUUUAUUUUGGGUGGUCAUACAAGCUAGUAGCCCUUUGCUUUUUUGGUAUUUUUUUCUACCUACCAAUGACUUGGAUUGGUUCGUGAGACGGUGAAAAUUGUUUUAAUGGAACUUACAAUACAGAGUACACUAUGAACUGGCAGUGGUAAGUGCCUACUGAUAGUAAAUUAGUAAGCAAGAUAUCAUUGUACUGUUUUUUCCAUCCUUUGUAGCUUUUGAUUUUGAUUUUUAAUUUUUUUUUUAAACCUUUGCAACUAUCUAGGAUAGUUUCUGAUUUUUCACGUAAAGUCUUUUGUCAACAUAAAGCCGAAAGACUUUAGGUAAGCCCACGUCAACAUGAAAGUUGGGAGGGAUUUUAUUUUGGGUGGUCAUACAAGCUAGUAGCCCUUUGCUGUUUCGGCAUUGUUUUCUUCCUACCAAUGACUUGGAUUGGUUCGUGAGACGGUGAAAAUUGUUUUAGUGGAACUUACAAUACAGAGUACUCCAUGAACUGGCAGUGGUAAGUGCCUACUGAUGGUUAAUGAGUAAGCAAGAUAUCAUUGUACCGUUUUUUCCAUCCUUUGUACCUUUUGAUUUUGAUUUUUAAUUUUUUUUAAACCUUAGCAACUAUCUGGGAUAGUUUCUGAUUUUUCACUUAAAUUCUUUUGUCAACAUUAAGCCGAAAGACCUUAGGUAAGCACACGUCAACAUGAAAGUUGGGAGGGAUUUUAUUUUGGGUGGUCAUACAAGCUAGUAGCCCUUUGCUUUUUUGGUAUUUUUUUCUACCUACCAAUGACUUGGAUUGGUUCGUGAGACGGUGAAAAUUGUUUUAAUGGAACUUAAAAUGAGCCCAAGUCACAAACUUUGGAAUGAUAUAUACUGGCUAUAAUUCCUUGUAAACCAUAUAUGUAAAGAGACAGGUGAAUAGGUAGUAGUUAUCAAUUAUUUUGUCAAAUAGCUCUCGAAAUACUCUUCUUUUGAUCUUUCUAUUUUCUUCUUCUGUUGUACUAUGGCAUGUUGCAGUGGG